RNAcentral lists this ribosomal RNA (468 nucleotides) under uncultured bacterium. Its description in RNAcentral is "partial 16S ribosomal RNA". It matches the Rfam family "Bacterial small subunit ribosomal RNA", at positions 28 to 507 of the family's 1533-position model. The record is from RNAcentral.
GACGAACGCUGGCGGCGUGCUUAACACAUGCAAGUCGAACGGAAAGGCCCUGCUUUUGUGGGGUGCUCGAGUGGCGAACGGGUGAGUAACACGUGAGUAACCUGCCCUUGACUUUGGGAUACCUUAAGGAAACUGGGGCUAAUACCGGAUAGGAGCUCCUGCUGCAUGGUGGGGGUUGGAAAGUUUCGGCGGUUGGGGAUGGACUCGCGGCUUAUCAGCUUGUUGGUGGGGUAGUGGCUUACCAAGGCUUUGACGGGUAGCCGGCCUGAGAGGGUGACCGGCCACAUUGGGACUGAGAUACGGCCCAGACUCCUACGGGAGGCAGCAGUGGGGAAUAUUGCACAAUGGGCGGAAGCCUGAUGCAGCAACGCCGCGUGCGGGAUGACGGCCUUCGGGUUGUAAACCGCUUUCGCCUGUGACGAAGCGUGAGUGACGGUAAUGGGUAAAGAAGCACCGGCUAACUACGUG